RNAcentral lists this ribosomal RNA (419 nucleotides) under uncultured bacterium. RNAcentral's name for it is "bacterial SSU rRNA". It matches the Rfam family "Bacterial small subunit ribosomal RNA", at positions 355 to 787 of the family's 1533-position model. The record is from RNAcentral.
UGGGGAAUAUUGGGCAAUGGGCGAAAGCCUGACCCAGCAACGCCGCGUGAGGGAAGAAGGGUUUCGGCUCGUAAACCUCUGUCCUAUGGGACGAAGGAAGUGACGGUACCAUAGGAGGAAGCCCCGGCUAACUACGUGCCAGCAGCCGCGGUAAUACGUAGGGGGCGAGCGUUGUCCGGAAUGAUUGGGCGUAAAGGGGCGCGUAGGCGGCCUGUUAAGUCUGGAGUGAAAGUCCUGCUUUCAAGGUGGGAAUUGCUUUGGAUACUGAUGGGCUGGAGUGCAGGAGAGGAAAGCGGAAUUACCGGUGUAGCGGUGAAAUGCGUAGAGAUCGGUAGGAACACCAGUGGCGAAGGCGGCUUUCUGGACUGAAACUGACGCUGAGGCGCGAAAGCGUGGGGAGCAAACAAGAUUAGAUACCC